Uranotaenia lowii is the source of this 360-nucleotide long non-coding RNA. RefSeq lists it as uncharacterized. The record is from RefSeq and is a predicted model, not a curated record. NCBI's taxonomy places the organism in Eukaryota, Metazoa, Arthropoda, Insecta, Diptera, Culicidae. The transcript is spliced from 2 exons.
UCUCGAGGUGCAGCGAUUGAAUCUGCAGCAGAUUUCAAGAAGGUACGUCUAGGGGACUUGCAGAAAUUAGUGAAGAGCCACUCACGCCACCGCUUGGAAAAUAUCGGAGCAAUGCAUGCAAGCCGGAUUCUACCAAAUAGAAUUGAACGGAGCAAGCAGGAAUUGAAACCUGCACAACUUCCCACGGAUCUACAGGAUGCGAUCCAAACUCGGAAUUCGGAGAAUGUAGACAGCCGCGGAAAGUGCCUAGGAAGUGGAAAUAUAUUUACGCCUUGAGUGUCUUAGCUUGCGGUAGCCGUCUUCAUGAAAGUGUUUGUUUUUAAUGGAAAGUUGAAAUAAAUAUUUUCUAAUCGAUUCACA